This 312-nucleotide small nuclear RNA is filed under the name Cebus imitator (Panamanian white-faced capuchin). Its description in RNAcentral is "7SK RNA (ENSCCAG00000009481.1)". It matches the Rfam family "7SK RNA". From Rfam's summary of the family: 7SK was discovered as an abundant small nuclear RNA in the mid-70s but a possible function has only recently been suggested. Two independent studies have found that 7SK RNA binds the CDK9/cyclin T complex (known as elongation factor P-TEFb). P-TEFb activates transcription by phosphorylating the C-terminal domain of RNA polymerase II. Lineage: Eukaryota; Metazoa; Chordata; Mammalia; Primates; Cebidae. The record is from Rfam by way of RNAcentral.
GAAUGUAAGGGCCAUCUGGCUGCAACAUCUUUCACCCCACUGAUCACCAGGGUUUAUUUGGCUGAUGUGGCUGGCUGAGGGGGGAGGGGUGCCCACUUCCUCCCUCAUUGCUCCAUGUGCAUUGCUCUGGAAGCUGUGUCCUGGGUCUAAGAAGACAACCAUAUCCAGUAGAGGAGAACAGGUCUUCUUUCAAGAGGAUACGAGUAGCUGUGCUUCCCUGCUAGAACCUCCAAACCAGCUCAAGGACAGGCUAUCAAACGGUCCCAUGUGGUAAAAACAAUAAAUAAUGGCUCUCCUGGAACAUUUUCCUGU